GACGGACGCUGGCGGUGUGCUUAACACAUGCAAGUCGAACGGUAAGGCCCUUUCGGGGGUACACGAGUGGCGAACGGGUGAGUAACACGUGAGUAACCUGCCCUCAUCUCUGGGAUAACAGUCGGAAACGGUUGCUAAUACUGGAUAUGAGCUUGCAAGGCAUCUUGUGGGUUGGAAAGAUUUUUUUGGUUGGGGAUGGACUCGCGGCCUAUCAGCUUGUUGGUGAGGUAGUGGCUCACCAAGGCUUCGACGGGUAGCCGGCCUGAGAGGGCGACCGGCCACAUUGGGACUGAGAUACGGCCCAAACUCCUACGGGAGGCAGCAGUGGGGAAUAUUGCACAAUGGACGGGAGUCUGAUGCAGCAACGCCGCGUGCGGGAUGACGGCCUUCGGGUUGUAAACCGCUUUCAAUUGUGACGAAGCUUUUUGUGACGGUAGCAGUAGAAGAAGCACCGGCUAACUACGUG
RNAcentral lists this ribosomal RNA (466 nucleotides) under uncultured bacterium. RNAcentral describes it as "partial 16S ribosomal RNA". It matches the Rfam family "Bacterial small subunit ribosomal RNA", at positions 28 to 507 of the family's 1533-position model. The record is from RNAcentral.